GACAGAGGGGGGAAGCGUUGCUCGGAAUCACUGGGCGUAAAGGGCGCGUAGGCGGGAUGGCAAGUCGGUCGUGAAAUCCUUCGGCUCAACCGAAGAACGUCGGCCGAUACUGCCGUUCUUGAGGGAUGCAGAGGAGAUUGGAAUUCCCGGUGUAGCGGUGAAAUGUGUAGAGAUCGGGAGGAACACCGGUGGCGAAGGCGGGUCUCUGGGCAUUUCCUGACGCUGAGGCGCGAAAGCGUGGGGAGCGAACAGG
Molecule: ribosomal RNA, 253 nt
Filed under: uncultured bacterium
Lineage: Bacteria
Description: partial 16S ribosomal RNA
Rfam family: Bacterial small subunit ribosomal RNA
Source: RNAcentral